UCAUAAAAAAUUUGAAAAAUUGGUUAAUUUAUAUCUUGAAACAUCCAAGAACUUAGUAUUUGAGAUAGAAAAGUAGUGAUCUAGUUUAAUACUUCAAAAAGUACUGAAAAGGAAUAGAUAAAAUGUUAUUAAAGCAGCUAAUGCAAGCGUACUUUUUGCAUCACGGCCUAGCAAGAGCCCAGUGAAAGUUCACGUUUCUCGAAAGCCGCGUGAGCUACUUUUUUUCUGGUUUUAGUCAAAAUAAUUUAUAACUAGAAAUGUAGCAAAAUUUCAGAAAGAAAAAAAAGUAGUGAUAAAAUGUUAUUCGCACCGGCGAUAGCUAGUUUUCUUAAAAAUGUAUAGGAGUACUGAGAUAUUUUUAGCCAGAAAUUAAACACUCUAAUUAUUCUGACCAAAGUAUCUCGCAGUUAUUAAAGGAUAAGCUUUAGUAAAAGCAGGUAAAAUUAUGUAUAAAUCUUUGCAGUCAUAAUGUGGGCUUGAAGUUGGCCAUCUUUAGAAGUUUGUUACAAAAUAGUAACAAAAAAAGAGAAAAUUGUUGUACUAGUAUUACCUAAAAAAAUAAGAAUAUAGGAAUAAACUUAUAAAUUUCUACAGCCUAUGCUAGGAUGAGUAUUAAAAAUUUGAUAUAAAAUAUAACUUAGACUUAAAUUUAUAUACUAAUAGAGUUAUUCUUAGAAAAAAAUAGAGAGAAGGAACUCGGCAAAAUUAGUUGUUCCGCCUGUUUAUCAAAAACAUGGCUCCUUGAACUAAAAUAUAUAAGGAGUCGGACCUGCCCAGUGAAGUUUUUAACGGCCGCGGUACUCUGACCGUGCAAAGGUAGCAUAAUCAUUUGCCUUAUAAUUGAAGGCUAGUAUGAAUGGUUUGACGCGAGCAACACUGUCUCCUCUCUACUCUUUAGAAUUUGACUUGUGGGUGAAGAGGCCCGUAUAAGAUUGAAGGACAAGAAGACCCUAUCGAGCUUUAAGAAAAACCAGAACAUACUAUGAAAAACAGAUUACAAGCUGUAAUACUCUUUUGGUUGGGGCGACUAAGGAAUAAAAUGAGCUUCCUUUUAUGUUUCUAUACCUAUUGGUUUUGAUCCAGUAAACUGAUUAAAAAAAUUAGUUACCGUAGGGAUAACAGCAUAAUCUCCCUUGAGAGACCUUAUCGAAAGGGGGGGUUGUGACCUCGAUGUUGGACUAGGAUAUCCGAAAGGUGCAGAAGCCUUUAAAGGUUGGUCUGUUCGACCAUUAAAAUCCUACAUGAUCUGAGUUC
RNAcentral lists this ribosomal RNA (1254 nucleotides) under Lampanella minima. RNAcentral describes it as "partial 16S ribosomal RNA". It matches the Rfam family "Bacterial large subunit ribosomal RNA", at positions 515 to 2612 of the family's 2925-position model. The record is from RNAcentral. Lineage: Eukaryota; Metazoa; Mollusca; Gastropoda; Potamididae.